Molecule: non-coding RNA, 107 nt
Filed under: uncultured Peptostreptococcus sp.
Lineage: Bacteria; Bacillati; Bacillota; Clostridia; Peptostreptococcales; Peptostreptococcaceae
Description: FMN riboswitch (RFN element)
Rfam family: FMN riboswitch aptamer (RFN element)
About the family: The RFN element is a highly conserved domain that is found frequently in the 5'-untranslated regions of prokaryotic mRNAs that encode for flavin mononucleotide (FMN) biosynthesis and transport proteins.
Source: RNAcentral
AAUCUUCAGGGCAGGGUGCAAGUCCCUACCGGCGGUAAAGCCCGCGAGCGCAAGCUGAUUUGGUGAGAUUCCAAAGCCGACAGUUAAAGUCUGGAUGAGAGAAGAUA